This 69-nucleotide small nucleolar RNA is filed under the name Entamoeba histolytica. RNAcentral's name for it is "Small nucleolar RNA SNORD24". It matches the Rfam family "Small nucleolar RNA SNORD24". Rfam says of the family: U24 is a member of the C/D class of snoRNA which contain the C (UGAUGA) and D (CUGA) box motifs. The record is from Rfam by way of RNAcentral. Lineage: Eukaryota; Evosea; Mastigamoebida; Endamoebidae.
ACCCAAUGAUGGAAAAUAUUUGGUCUGAUUUAUCUUUUGAUGAUUUAUUUCACCAAGAUCUCUGAGGGU